RNA transcript from Solanum tuberosum (potato), 2579 nucleotides. It is a transcript of the gene named subtilisin-like protease SBT1.7, with no coding region annotated. Lineage: Eukaryota; Viridiplantae; Streptophyta; Magnoliopsida; Solanales; Solanaceae. The record is from RefSeq and is a predicted model, not a curated record. The transcript has a single exon.
AUCAACAAUGACUGUUUCUUAGAGUGUGUAUAAAAGGAGGCUAUGUCAUAGUUGGAAAACACAAAUAAAGAGAUAUAACUAUGAAGACAAUACUACCUUUUCUUCUCUUUUCUUUGUGUCUUUCUUUGUUUUUAGGAACCUCAGCUGAGAGGUCUACCUACAUUGUCCAUUUGGAUAAGUCUUUUAUGCCUAAAAUCUUUGCUACUCACCAAAAUUGGCAUUCUUCCAUUAUUGAUACCCAUCAAGAUUGAAGCUCCCACUACACAAAAUAGCCACCAUCCCAGUUCCAAAGCUUCUUUAUUCUUAUGACAAUGUGCUUCAUGGAUUCAGUGCUGUUUUGUCUAAAGAUGAAUUUGAAGCUCUCAAGAAGUCACCAGGCUUUCUUUCAGCUUAUAAAGAUAGGCCUGUUGAAGCUCACACUACACAUUCCCCUGAGUUUCUUAAGCUUAAUCCUGCUUCUGGGCUAUGGCCGGCGUCUGGUUUUGGUGAAGAUGUGAUUAUCGGAGUACUCGACACUGGUGUCUGGCCAGAAUCUGCUAGUUUCAGAGAUGAUGGACUAUCUGCAAUACCAAAAAAGUGGAAGGGAAUUUGUAAGCCAGGAACAGAUUUCAAUUCUUCUUUAUGCAACAGGAAACUCAUUGGGGCGAAUUAUUUCAAUAAGGGGCUUUUGGCUAGUGAUCCUACUAUUGUUCUUUCCAUGAAUUCUGCAAGGGAUAUGAGAGGUCAUGGCACUCAUGUUGCUUCCAUUGCUGCUGGUAGUUCUGUUAAAGGAGUUUCAUAUUUUGGAUAUGCUCCUGGAACAGCAAGAGGUAUUGCGCCACAAGCUAGGAUUGCUGUAUAUAAGUUUAGCUUUGAAGAAGGGACCGUCACUUCUGAUUUAAUUGCUGCUAUGGACCAAGCUGUUGCAGAUGGCGUUGACAUACUAUCAAUUUCUUAUGGGUAUGGUUUUGGUCCAUUGUAUGAAGAUUCUAUUGCAAUAGCUUCUUUUGGUGCCAUGAUGAAGGGUGUGUUAGUCUCUGCUUCAGCUGGGAAUAAUGGUCCUGAAAUGGGAACUUUAUCCAAUGGAGUCCCCUGGAUCUUUACUGUGGCAUCAGGCAGUACUGACCGAUCAUUUUCCGGGACUAUAACUUUUGGGAAUGGCUUAAAGAUUACUGGAUUUAGCUUGUUUCCAGUGAGAACCACCAUAAAGGAUUUUGAUUUGGUUUACAAUGACAGCUUAUCCGCUUGUGAGUCAUCUGAUGAUUUAGCCCAAGUCCCUAAUAAAGCACGUAGCAUCACGAUGUGUUAUAGCACUGCACAAGAAGACUUAUCAGUCUCUGAUCAAAUGGGGGCUAUCUCAGAGGCAAAAUUUGGUGGCGCACUCUAUGUUUAUGGAGAUCCGGAUGUAUUGACAUCCAAUUAUUUUACGAAUCCUGGAGCUGUAAUUAGCAGCAAGGAUUGGGAAAAGGUGGUAGACUAUGCAAAAACAAGUGCUAAACCAAAAGUCAGCAUCAGUUUCCAGGAAACACAUUUUGCUGUUAAGCCUGCUCCAGUUGUUUCUGCAUUUUCCUCGAGAGGCCCCUCCCUAAGCUAUCUACGAGUUGCAAAGCCAGAUAUUAUGGCACCAGGGGAGUUAAUUUUAGCAGCCUGGCCAUCGAACACUUCAGCUGCAAUCAUUGGUGUCAAUACAUUUUUGGAUAGUGAUUACAGGCUUCUUUCAGGCACUUCGAUGGCUGCUCCUCACAUUUCCGGAAUUGCUGCAAUGCUAAAAGGAGUACAUCCUGAUUGGAGUCCUUCAGCUAUUCGAUCUGCCAUGAUGACCACUGCAAGCCCUUUGGAUAAUACUGAAAAGCCCAUCAAGACCAUGGAUUACCUCAGAACCAAUUAUGCUACAUCUUUAUCCAUGGGAGCUGGACUUGUUGAUCCAAACCGUGCAGUUGAUCCAGGCCUGAUAUAUGAUGCAACUCCACAAGACUACGUGAAUCUUCUCUGCUCCAUGAAUUUCACAGAAAAGCAGUUCAAGACAAUUGCUAGAUCAUCAGCUAAGCACAACUGUGCAAAUCCAUCCGAUGAUAUCAAUUACCCAUCAUUUAUUGCUCUCUAUAUCCCAAAUGGGGACUAUGCUUGGUUGGAGCAGAAAUUCACGAGGACAGUCACAAAUGUUGGACCCGGUGCAGCUAAGUACAAAGUAAAAGUGAAAGCACCAAUAAACUCGACAAUUUCUAUCUCUCCACAGACCUUGGUGUUUGAGAAAAAACAUCAGAAGCAGGACUACACUCUUACCAUACGUUACAGAGGCAUUGAAUUUGACCAAGCACAAUCUGGUUCAAUCACUUGGGUGGAAAAGAACGGUCAUCACACCGUAAGAAGUCCUAUAGUAGUUGCUCCAGCGCUUGAUGCCCCAAAUGAAAAUGAUUGAUGCCCCAAACUGAAAUGCUGCAGUUGAUAAUACUGUUGCAUUUGUAAGUUUGUAACUCUCCUCAAGAGGGUUCUGUUAAAGUAGCUGGAAGUAUUCUGGCAAAGCAUGUGCAUGUUUGAAGUAAUUGUUGAAUAAUGUUUUAUUUUCUUGUGUUACCAAAAAACCAAGACUUUGUUGAAUA